GCCCCUGUAGUCUAACCUGGAUAGGAUGGAAGCUUGCGGAGCUUCAGGUCCGGGUUCAAAUCCCGGCAGGGGCA
Molecule: transfer RNA, 74 nt
Filed under: Bathyarchaeia archaeon
Lineage: Archaea; Thermoproteati; Candidatus Bathyarchaeota; Bathyarchaeia (SeqCode)
Also listed under: 1 other name
Description: Candidatus Bathyarchaeia archaeon tRNA-Arg
Rfam family: tRNA
About the family: Transfer RNA (tRNA) molecules are approximately 80 nucleotides in length. Their secondary structure includes four short double-helical elements and three loops (D, anti-codon, and T loops).
Source: RNAcentral